Miniopterus natalensis is the source of this 2565-nucleotide non-coding RNA. The record is from RefSeq and is a predicted model, not a curated record. NCBI's taxonomy places the organism in Eukaryota, Metazoa, Chordata, Mammalia, Chiroptera, Miniopteridae.
GGGGCUGCGCGGUUUGUGCUUCACCACCGUAGACUCCCGGCCCUCGCCCCGCUAAAGAUGCCCUGCAGAGGUAGUCGAAGAGUGAGAAGGGACGUCGGGGAGCCUUCGGCAGCCCUCGCUGCCUUUCACGCACGCAGGGAACCACUUUGCUAGGUGCUGAAGAGCACAGUGGCGUGGGACGCCGUUGUCGCUAACCUCGAGUUGAUCAUGCCCCGAGACUUGAGAGCGUGGACGGAUGUGACUGCCUGGUUCAAACCUACAUUUUGCGGAUUAGGCAGUUGAGGCUUAGAUGGAGACUGGUGAAGGGACCUCCCUAAGGCCGCACAGCUGGGUAGGGGGAGGGCUGGGACUGGGGCGUUGCUGUGGCUCCCAGUCCUGAGGCAUGUGUUCCGCGCGCCUCUCCGCGUGCACACGCUCAGCUCCGCAGACUGUAAAGUCCAGGAGGGCCCGACCAUUUCCCUUUCGUACGCUAUUCGACUUUAAUACCUUACACAGGGUAAAGGUUGAAUAAAGGUGCACAGGACAUAGUUAUGACAUGAAUGAGUGGUGCUAAUAUAAGAUUACUAUUCGGGUUCUGUUUGUUAACCGGAUUAUAUAAGAUAAGCAGUUUGCCGAAGAUAAAACAAGUAAAUCACCUCGUGGUAAAGUGCAUCUGUAUUGGCAAAUGCUGUAUUUGUAAAUUGAGACAAGUUUGAUCAUUUUGCAUUCAGUAGCAAAGAUGUUGAAAUUGUGUUGUUUGAACACGGAGGAAAUUGAUACACUUUAUGUUACUAAUGUCAUUGUUAUUAAAGAGCUAUAAAGUUAUAAAACUAUUUGCUUUGACACAUUUCAACUCUCGAAGCUGCACUUCAGUAAAAAUUUGAACAAGCAGUAGCAAUGUUCUUAAUUGUGCUGAGGGAGUUUGCGAAGGAACCAAUCAUUGUUGGCUGUGUCUAGGUAGCCCUUAGUAAGAUGGAUAGGUAUCCUAGACAUUUUUUUGUGUUUAGACCUUUUUUUAAAACACAUAUUAGGUUAUAUAGUUGAGCAACAUAAAGGCAUACAUGCACAAAUACGUGUGGAAGAUUUUGGAUUUAUUAUUUCAUUAAUUAUGACUGAAUCUAAUUUAGGAUUACCCAAGAAGAUUAAUGUUAUAGAUAAAUGAAAUCUGCAUGUAUGUUCCUUUUUGGCCUAAAAGAGACUUAUUUUCAUACAAACCUUUUAUAAAAGUUGCUCACCCAGUGAAUAGCCUUUGAUUUUAUUUCCACUUUGUACACUUCUUUUCCGAGGUAAAAUAUACCAGAAGUUAUGCAAAACAUGUAAAAGUGAAAAGGCUGUUUUAUAUUCAUAUUUCCUCACAGCCUUUCAUAUUGUAACUGUUUGAUACAUUAUUAGAUGAAUUGAUUCUAACUUGUCCUUUCAUCAAUGAAGCAAUUCAAAUACAACUCCAAAAAUUCACUCAUUUAAGCUUCCCCAUUUUGCAGAGUUGCGGGGGAGGAGUCUGGAAUAUGCCUUUAUUUAAGGAAGUUACCUAGUAUGAUUUGUGAUCAGUACCCUCUAAAAACAGGGAGUCCCAGUCCCCUUUGUUUUGCUUCUGGAAAGUGCUUGUAGUUCUUUAUCUCCAUGUGCAUUGUGGGUGAAUCAUGCUGACUUUAUCCGCUCACUCUUUGGGAAGAUGGGAGACAACGUCUGCAAUAAAGCUGGUGCCAGUAACAUGCUCCCUUCUACCCUGUUCUCAUUAUGCAGGUUAGAGGCAACAACAGCUGUGGGUUUGAGAACAACAUUUGUGCUCAUUUGCUGUCUUUUUGUUGCUGCUGCUCCCAAGGGAGGUGUCUGAGUCCUGCAUACCUGGUAUCAGCCCUGCUUGCUCUGCUGCUUGUUCCUGUCCAACACUGCCUCCCCUGCCUGUGGGGAGAACAUCCAUCAUCUAGCCACUUAUUUUGGCCCCUCAUCACAAGAUUCCGUAGCACUUUUUCCGCUGUGCGUUCCAGCCGGCCCAGUGAUCCCGCUGCGCCUCCGGCCAAGACCUCACCAAAGUGCUGGUUCAAAUGGAACACUCCGUGGAAACCAUGAUGUUCACGUUUCAAAAAUUUGCUGGCGAUAAAGGCUACUUAAGAAGGAUGAGACAGUACUCACGAGAAAGGAGUUCUCUGGAUUUUUGGAAAAUUAAAAAGGUGGAGGCAAAAUAAUGAAGGACCUGGACCAGUGCCGAGAGGGCAGGGCGGGCUUCCAGAGCCUCUUUUCACGGAUGCUGGGCUCCCCAUCGCUUGCAGGGACUAUUCUGUAAUACACACGAGCAGAAGGGAAAGUUUCAAGCAGGCGGCACUGAGCAGUUCUCCUGCCCUGAUAAGAGUUCUCCCAAUUGGCUGCUUAAGGAAUCUCUGCCCGACAGCUUCCCCCUGUAUAAAGCUUUGAUGAGCAGAUUGGGACCCUUAGAAAAUGUACAAAUAAAAUCCCACCCUCAUUUGACAAGAGAAAGAAAAGCCAAUUAAGCUAGAUAAGUUUUUGAUUUUUAUAUUGCUUGUAUCCUCUUGCUGUCAAUAAACAAAUUUCUUUUUUAGAUCCUAAAAUAAAAAAAAUAAAACACAA